AGAGUUUGAUCCUGGCUCAGGAUGAACGCUAGCUACAGGCUUAACACAUGCAAGUCGAGGGCAGCAUUGAAGUUGCUUGCAACUUCUGAUGGCGACCGGCGAAUGGGUGAGUAACGCGUAUCCAACCUGCCCUGUGCCCGGGAAUAGCCCUUGGAAACGAGGAUUAACGCCCGAUGGCGUGCAUUGACCGCAUGGGAUAUGCACUAAAUGGAAAGGCACGGGAUGGGGAUGCGUUCCAUUAGGUUGUUGGCGGGUAACGGCCCACCAAGCCUUCGAUGGAUAGGGGUUCUGAGAGGAAGGUCCCCCACAUUGGAACUGAGACACGGUCCAAACUCCUACGGGAGGCAGCAGUGAGGAAUAUUGGUCAAUGGGCGGAAGCCUGAACCAGCCAAGUAAGCGUGAGGGAUGACGGCCCUACGGGUUGUAAACCUCUUUUAUGCGGGGAUAAAGUGCUCCACGCGUGGAGUUUUGCAGGUACCGCAUGAAUAAGGACCGGCUAAUUCCGUGCCAGCCGCCGC
Molecule: ribosomal RNA, 518 nt
Filed under: uncultured bacterium
Lineage: Bacteria
Description: bacterial SSU rRNA
Rfam family: Bacterial small subunit ribosomal RNA
Source: RNAcentral